This 282-nucleotide long non-coding RNA is filed under the name Physcomitrium patens. RNAcentral describes it as "long non-coding RNA (PPAT_LNC003656)". Lineage: Eukaryota; Viridiplantae; Streptophyta; Bryopsida; Funariales; Funariaceae. The record is from RNAcentral.
AGAUAUUGAUAAAAUAGAUUAAUAAUCCAUAGAAUAGUCAAUUCAGGAAGAUGGAUGGUUAAAUUAGUUAUUAAAAGUAGUUAUUAUAGGAUUACAAUUAGAAUCUAGAAAUCAGUAGCAAUUAUACAGGAGUUGUAGAAGUUUGUUGGGAUGCCAGACUAAGAAAGUCAUGAACCGGGGUUAAGCUUGGUGCUACCUCUUUGUUUUCUUUGUUUUCUUUGUUUUCUUUGUUGUUGAAGAGUAAUGGAUAUUUUUUGAAUACUAAGAAGUGAGUCUGUGGAA